RNAcentral lists this ribosomal RNA (492 nucleotides) under uncultured bacterium. RNAcentral describes it as "partial 16S ribosomal RNA". It matches the Rfam family "Bacterial small subunit ribosomal RNA", at positions 29 to 507 of the family's 1533-position model. The record is from RNAcentral.
AGUGAACGCUGGCGGUAGGCCUAACACAUGCAAGUCGAACGGCAGCACAGUAAGAGCUUGCUCUUACGGGUGGCGAGUGGCGGACGGGUGAGGAAUACAUCGGAAUCUACUUUUUCGUGGGGGAUAACGUAGGGAAACUUACGCUAAUACCGCAUACGACGUACGGGUGAAAGCAGGGGAUCUUCGGACCUUGCGUGAUUGAAUGAGCCGAUGUCGGAUUAGCUAGUUGGCGGGGUAAAGGCCCACCAAGGCGACGAUCCGUAGCUGGUCUGAGAGGAUGAUCAGCCACACUGGAACUGAGACACGGUCCAGACUCCUACGGGAGGCAGCAGUGGGGAAUAUUGGACAAUGGGCGCAAGCCUGAUCCAGCCAUACCGCGUGGGUGAAGAAGGCCUUCGGGUUGUAAAGCCCUUUUGUUGGGAAAGAAAAGCAGCAGGUUAAUACCCCGCUGUUCUGACGGUACCCAAAGAAUAAGCACCGGCUAACUUCGUG